AAUGACCAUCGGUGGGAGAGCGCAUCGCUGGCAGCGAUGAGGUCAGGGGUUCGAGCCCCCUAUUCUCCACCA
This 72-nucleotide transfer RNA is filed under the name Paenibacillus sp. FSL R5-0912. Its description in RNAcentral is "tRNA-Ala (GGC) (tRNA-Ala-GGC-2-1)". The record is from RNAcentral. Lineage: Bacteria; Bacillati; Bacillota; Bacilli; Caryophanales; Paenibacillaceae.